GGUCGGUUAGCUCAGUUGGUUAGAGCAUCUGAUUUACAUUCAGAGGGUCGCAGGUUCGAGUCCCGCACUGACCA
RNAcentral lists this transfer RNA (74 nucleotides) under Candidatus Omnitrophota bacterium. RNAcentral describes it as "Candidatus Omnitrophica bacterium (sediment metagenome) tRNA-Val". It matches the Rfam family "tRNA". Rfam says of the family: Transfer RNA (tRNA) molecules are approximately 80 nucleotides in length. The record is from RNAcentral. Lineage: Bacteria; Pseudomonadati; Candidatus Omnitrophota.